This 3080-nucleotide unclassified non-coding RNA is filed under the name Dimorphilus gyrociliatus. RNAcentral describes it as "dgyrCDS12657". The record is from RNAcentral. Lineage: Eukaryota; Metazoa; Annelida; Polychaeta; Dinophilidae.
GUCAGUUUGGCGGAAAGCAGCAAUCGACAACGGUUUUAUUAAUUCUGCAAAUAAGAGCAAAGUCGGCAACUCUGUUUAUUUUAUCGGUUCUGUAAACAGGAAAAGAAAGUUUAGGAUAGAGGUAGACGUAUAGGUGAGUCUUAUCAGAAGAAGCAUUAAAGUUUUAUUUUCUCUCUGUCCUCAUUCCAAGUCUUUCUGUUGUUUAAAUGUAAACGGUAAGUGGUGUAUAAUAAAAAAAGCAAUAAAAUCUAUAUGUGGAAAAAUAUUUAGACGCGUAUGAUUCAGGAGACGUCACUUUUUAUUCGAUCGAUACAUAAACGGAGUAUGAACGCUCGUGCUAUCGAUUCGUUUUGGAUGACAAAGAAAAUACUAUACUUGUUUUGUUUUUGGUCAUGUGACAAGGCAAAAGUUUUAUUUUAUGCGGCUUGUAGUUGUAAUUUGUAAAAGAGAAAGCCGAAAUCAGUAGACCUUUGUAAUACUUUAAUAUAUAAUUUAUAGUCAAACUAUAGUUCAAUCGAUAGUCUAUGUCUAUUAAGAAAAGAAUGGCUGAGUAAAGAGUAGAAUAAAAGAAAGAGAGGGAAAAAGAGGAGAAUGGGUAAUCAAUUCGAUCCUAUAGAUGGCAUUCUUAUCCUACUGUGAUUAGAUAUUCAACGCUCCUUAUCUUACACGCUAUUAUUCUUACUCCCUAUUCGAACUGGCGUCGACCCUUUUCCAGAUCUGCGACCCUAGAUAAAGGAAUGUGGCAAUCUUAGUUAGGCAACUACUAGCGCCCUUUAGUAUUCAAUAGUGUUAGCAAAGGGCGCGUUGUAAAAAAAAUAGAGACAGGGGGUAAAGAGGGCGAAAAGAAAGAUAUAUUGAUUAUAUCAUUUGCACUCUACUAUACCGCCUUGUUAUUUCCUUUACGGUUAAAUUUCUCGGCCUCUACUCUACUCGAUUGCUUGAAACGACGGCUUUUUUCAUUUGCUAGGAGAUUCAUUUAUCAAAAAAUGAGUGAAACAAUAAGGAAAUAGUAAUUCAUCGUUACAAAAAAUAAGAUUAAUCAAUCCCGCAAGAAUUCUGUUGCUUAUUUCGAGGAAGGCAGGGGGCAGGCCCUCUUAUAGGCCGCCAUUUUUUCUUCUAGAAAGAUGGAGAGAAACAAUUCUAGGUCAUUUUAUCAUUUUUGUUGCAAAUAUUUUAUACCUUUUUUAUCAUCUUUUUUUCCCAUAGUAUUAUUAGUCUCUGCACGAUCACAAAAAAUAAUCUUUUAUUCCCAACCUUAAACAGUUCUCCCCUACACUCCAUCCAUAAAUAUUUGUGCUGCGUUAUGCCGGUUCUGUCAUCGCCCGCUUCCCUUCAGAAUUUCACGGAUGCUAGUGUUCAAAAACUACUCAACUGUCUUCAAGAGUUACAUCUAAAAGCAUCCGGGAAUGAAAUUGAUCUACUUUUCUUAAGCAAUCUACUUCAGGGCGAGGAUUUCCAAGGGUUAAUGAAGAUCCACCAACAGGUUACGGCUCCUCAAUUCUCCGAGCACAAGCCAACGCAUUCCAGCGCGUCCAAAAUGGUUGCAAAUGUGGUGGAGGACCUGCAUGCUAUACCCCCAACUGCAGAGGCCAGAGAAUUAAUGACCCUCCUGUGCAGUUUCAGUUUUCAAGGUCUAUUAGAAGCGCAUGAUGGCAUUGCGGCCAAGGCAUUUUCGCCUGUUUUACCGGAAAUACCACAUAAAGUCGACGAAGAUGAAGUUUCCGUCAAAAUUCUAAAGCUAUUGAAAGCUCCCAAAGAGCCACUCGGUGCUACAAUUAAGAAAAAUGAAAAAACCGGCUGCAUCCACGUGGCUAGAAUAAUGAAAGGGGGAGCAGCCGACAGAAGUGGUGUUAUUAGCGUUGGUGACGAAUUAAGAGAAGUGAAUGAUGUUUGUACGAGGAGUAUGGAUCCUAAUGAAGUUGUCUCUUUACUAACAAACCCAACAGGGCCACUCAUCCUGAAACUCAUCCCUGCUGAUAGUGAUAUUGCAAUACGAGAAACUCAUAUGAGAGUGAAGGCUUGUUUCGAGUUUGAUCCUAAAAAAGAUAGCACAAUACCUUGUAAGGAGGCUGGUUUAGCUUUCAAGCGUAACGAUAUAUUGCAUAUUGUAAGUCAGGAAGAUGGAACUUGGUGGCAAGCUAGACUAGACAGUGAUUCUUCAAAACGAGCCGGUUUAAUACCUAGUAUUAAACGUCUUGAAAGACAAGAAGCAGCUAAAACUUUAGUUAAUACUCCCGAGUGCGAAAGAAAAUUAAGUACAAAAUUUAGCCCAAAAAUUGGAAAGAGAAGGAGAUUUAAAAAGGAUCAAGAAGUUUCCGAUGACGUAAUCAUACCAACUUUUUACGAAGAAGUUGAUAAGUUUACACCAGAAAAAAGCAGAAACAUCUUAUUAGCUGGUCAUGCUUUAUCAGGAAGGGAUGAGAUUCUAUCCCGAUUACAAAUCAAAUUGAAUAAUAGUAAAUACAAAAUUCCAACCAGAUAUUCCACUAAUCUACAACCUAAUUGUUCGAUGCUGCCUAAGGAAGAUAUUGAUCGAUUGCAACAAGAAAAGCUGCUAAUCGACUUUCUGGACAGGAAACAAUACUCAAUCUGCAGUAAACUCGAGGAUGCAAGACAGAUAAUCAAGAAUGGAGAUGCACUAUUAUGCUCCGUCAAUCAACAGGGUUUGAAAUUAUUGAGAACGGCGGAAGUUAAACCUUUUGUUAUAUAUAUAAAACCGCAUAGUACGGACUGUCUUAAAAGCAUGCAUAAAUCAGUUUUACGAAGUCCUGGUGCCAAGAGGUUAAAUGAUGAUGGAAUAGAAGAGGUCAUGGUAGACUCAUCCUUAAUGGAAAAUUCAUAUGGACACUUUUUUGAUAGAACUGUUUUAAAUCGGGAUAUUCAAGCCAGUACUGAUGAAAUUCUAAAUAUAAUUAACCAAGCAAAUACAACGCCUUGCUGGGUGCCUAGCGUAUGGAUGCAAUAGACUGAUAAUUCAUUGCAGUUGCAGCUUUAUCCUUUCAUAUCGAAUAGUAAUUACUGAGAUGCCAAAUAAAUUAUAGAAUCUUGUUUUUCUUAAACAAGUGGUAUUCCUCUAAAAA